UUCAUCUGUGAACGCAUCAAAUAUUUUUACGAAUAACAUUAAUAACAACAGCAGUGGUAUUAGAAACAGUGGGUUAUCAGGUGUACCUGCAACUACAACUACAAAACAAACAAAAACAAAUCGACCAACUAGAAAAAAACCAAUAAAACACUUGCGUUCAUUUCAUUCACCAUUAGUACGUUUUUUUAUCAUGAUUUUAAAUUUUGAUGUUAUAAAAAAAAUGUAUAGACGAUUUAUAUUGGUAUAAAUAUAUUUAUAAAAAGAAAAAAACGACAAAAGUUGGAUAGUGAUAUUGUGGGUGGUGGUAAUGUUAGUGAUAUGGACGAAAGGUUAAACAAAGAAACUAACAUAAAUACAAAUUAUAAUGGCAUAAGCAAUACAACAAAUAUGGAAACAAAUUAUUUCAGUUGCAACGGUAACAACGAUAACAGCGAUAGUAAAUACAAAUGUACGUUAAGUGAAAAACAUUUGAUCAUAACCGAAUUUAUAAAAGAUUUUUAUUCAUUGGAACAUAUUCCAUUAGAUGUGUUGAACAAACGUAAAAAAUUACAAGAGCUGUACGAAUCAGGUGGUAAUAAUAUACGUAUGAAAUUAUUUUAUUAUAAACCAUUUUUAAAAAGUUAUGAUAAUAAUAAGUAUAGUCAUAUUAAUGAAUAUCUAACAGAAAUAAAAUAUUUGGAAAAUAAAUAUUUGUGGUAUAUUAACGAAUCCGAUAAUUUUGUAAGACGAUGUAUAAAAGUUUCUCAUGAUCGUGCAACAAAUACAGAUGUUUCUGUUAAGAUGGAUGUGAAUGAAGGUGAAAUUACGAAUACACAAUAUAAUAAUGAUGUAUAUCUACAUACAGGUGUAAAUAAUACAGCACCAAGUGAUACUAAUAAUAGCAAUAAUGACACAAAUUCAAUAAAAUUCCGAACAACUAUACAAGAUAAAAAAAUUAAAACAAAAUGUAAAAAUACAUUUAUCGAAACUAAGAUAAAUAACAAAACACUUGAAUUUAAUGAGUUUUUAGAAAUAAAUUAUAAAAAAGAAAAAAAAUAUAUUUAUCUACAUCCUUUAUAUAUUGAUUUAUAUAUGAGAGAUGUAUUAAAUUUUUUAAAUUUAUUUAAUCUAAAAUUAAUGAAAUAUAUAUUUUAUAUAAAUAUGGAUGUAUUAACAUUUGUUUACGAAAUAAAAUAUGGUUAUUGGGUAAGAAAUGGAACACGUAUGUUAACCCAAGUGAAUAAUUAUGAAAUAACUCAAUCAUUUUCGAACGAUUUGAUGGGAAUUCAGUUUGCUAUGAUAAUGAUGAAUAUGUUACCUUUGUAUGAAAAUCAAAAAAUUAAACUUGAUUUAGAAACAAAAAAACUUGUUAAAACUUUGUAUAGGAAGUAUAUACUUAUGAAGGCCAAUGACCAGAUAAAUGGUGUUAACGAUUCUGGUAGUACGAACAAUGUCAAUAAUGAAGAAAAUAGUUUUAACAGAGACAUGAACAAAGACAUGAAC
This is a long non-coding RNA of Piliocolobus tephrosceles (Ugandan red Colobus), 1482 nucleotides long. The record is from Ensembl. NCBI's taxonomy places the organism in Eukaryota, Metazoa, Chordata, Mammalia, Primates, Cercopithecidae.